Grammomys surdaster is the source of this 2551-nucleotide long non-coding RNA. RefSeq lists it as uncharacterized. The record is from RefSeq and is a predicted model, not a curated record. NCBI's taxonomy places the organism in Eukaryota, Metazoa, Chordata, Mammalia, Rodentia, Muridae. The transcript is spliced from 4 exons.
CCCUUCCAGGUGAAAACAGACAUGUCAGAAAAUGAUAACAUGUCAGAAAAGCUUCACUCCUCUGUUAUGCAUCAGGUAUUCUAGUUGAGGUAUUUUAAAGCCUAUUUCAUCUGCACACUGUAUGAGGCUUCUAUUUUCUUCAAUGCUUACCAGAUGAGAAAGCUGGAGUUCUUAGAGUUUCCGUCGCCCACUCAAGGUGACAGUGUGUGGUUAAAACAACACCUUGUAUUUGGAUUAUCAGACUCCACAGUUUGCACUGUUAUUGUGAACACCACUUUCCACUGUGAAAAUAUUUAGAGAAAUGUGAAAUGGGUUGAUGUACAUGUGUGUCUAUUUAGGCAGCAGUAAGAAAACAGUUCCUACAAUGUAUCAUUAUUAAAUUGCAAAUUGUCGUUCAAUUAGGAAGAGAAUAAAUUAAUUGGAGUUCCUCAUUUUCUCGAAAAAUCAAGAUGAGAAGGUAAAAUUAUGUUGUCUAAUUUUUUCCAAGCAGAUUUGUGAAGGAGCAUUGGCUUGUCUAGGCUGAUCCUGUUGCUGGCGCUGAAAUGUUUUACAUCUCCUGCUUUGAAAUUUUUUUUGCAUUGAUGUAUUUGUCAUUUUCUACAGACAUAAAUUUUGUCAUUUAAUAAUCAACCUUGUUUUUAUUUUUAGAAUGACUCCCACCACUUGUCAGCAGACUUGGCUCUCAGUAAACAGUUGAUGUCUAUGAAAAUCUAACUGUCCUGUUAAAGAGGGUGAUUUCUGCAUUUGGCAUUUGAGAGAAUAUGAAGGAGGCUCAAGUUAUUAAAUAAUACAUGAAGACAAUGGCUCAUGAAAUAUAGACAGUUCUGAGGUGUGUGUACCAGUGACAUAGAAGCAUGGAGUGAGCCAUGGGAGAGUCUUCUCACUGAUUUGGGGCAGAUAAAAGGACAGUGCUGAAUAAUUUACAUCUUUGCUGCCUUUUGUACUUCGUCAAGUAAACUGCAUCUCUUGACCCUUCCAAACUGGAUGAGGAAAAGUCAGUGCAGCUGGUAGCGCCCCUCCUCACACUCCCAACCAACCCCAGCUGUAGAUGAAAGAACAUGAAACCUAGUGACUCAAAGUAGACUUCAUGAUCUGAUGGCCGUCACUAUCUACCCAGUAUGAAGAGUGUCCAGCUGCCCCGGGCAGUGCCAAGCCUCAAGAACGUGGACACCCAAAGGCAACAACAGCGAUCAGAACUUUUUUUCUUGGAUGAAAAGAUAGAAAGUCUUGAAGAAAAGACAUGUUUAAAACUCCUGAUUGUGCAGAUGUAAUUUGGGGGGCUCUGUAAGGGUUUGUAUAUUGACGGUGAACUCUGAGCUGUGUAAAAUGUCAAAGUGCUCACCCUCUCCCACAGGAGAACAAUUCCAACAAAGGGAAUAUACAAAGCUUCAGAGUGUUGGUGAAGCACGAGGUACCAACACUCCUCCAUGAAGGAACAAGGAAGUCAGCUUUGGUCAGCCAGUGGGAAGCAAGGAAAAACAGCAAGGGAAAUGUCCCUAUGUUCCUGUUGUCAAUGAUCCUCCUUAGGCUGUCAACAAUCCUCAGGACUGCUGUGAUUUUAAAGCCUUCUUGCAUUUCUUUAAACUUGAGUUGCUUCUAUCUCACGCUGCUUUGGAAAACUUUUUUUUUCCUGCUUUCAAAAUACUGUUUUGAUCUUUCUCCUCUGGCCUGGCCCAGUGAUAGCCACAGUCUUUAACUUUCCUCUGUGGAAAUGGAUUGGAGCAGUGUGUUUAUUUAUUUUAUUUUGUAAGAUGCCAAUUUUUCAAAUGGUGUAAUUCAACAAAACCCCAUCUCCUUUCUUUAGAUAUGUAUUUCUACAUCUGGUAAUUCAAGCUGAACCAGUGUCUCCUGAUAGGAUGCUGCUUGACUCACGUCCAGGCUGAAGUACUUAAAAAAUGCCAGGCACUACAACAAUUUUAAAUCUCUCUCUACACUGCACAUGGCUAUUUAAAAUAAUUGAAGCUCUUCAAAUUUUUAUAUGCGUUCAAAUUUGGAAGUCAUUGGUUCUGAGCAUGUGCAGGACACAAUGAUUUAAGGUUAUUAGAGUCUCCUCAAUUUAUGCUGAGCGUUUCAGCUUGAGUCUGACAGGGGAACCUGAGCUGAAGCAUUUACAACUGAUUUAACAUAGUCAUUACACUCAGAUGUUGUGCAGGUGAUCAGAAUUAUGGACACUUGUUUACUUUUUGAGAAAAGCACUGUAAAAAUGACACUUUUUUUUUUUUAGGCUCAAACACUUAAAUUAACCACUUAAAGAGCACCAUAAUCCAAUUUACUUUCACUGUCAUAGUUCCCUCUGAUGACCUGAUUAUAAUCACAACUGUAAAGCCAAAAAUGAGCAUUUGGCUUGGUAAAGAGCUGUUGUCUUCUAGAGCAAGCAUGGAGAAAUAAGUCUUCAGUAAAACACCUGAUGUACUCUGUUGAUGUCCCAGAGUCUAGAGAAGAUGUAGGUUUUGCUCUGAAUACUGAGAUUUUUGAACUAUUGCAUUUCACACACAGUUUAAUGUUUAAUUUCAAUGUCUUAAAUAAAGAACUUUUAUUAAAUAUGAUUUCA